GACGAACGCUGGCGGCGUGCUUAACACAUGCAAGUCGAACGGAAAGGCCCUGCUUUUGUGGGGUGCUCGAGUGGCGAACGGGUGAGUAACACGUGAGUUACCUGCCCUUGACUUUGGGAUAACGUCAGGAAACUGGGGCUAAUACCGGAUAGGAGCUCCUGCUGCAUGGUGGGGGUUGGAAAGUUUCGGCGGUUGGGGAUGGACUCGCGGCUUAUCAGCUUGUUGGUGGGGUAGUGGCUUACCAAGGCUUUGACGGGUAGCCGGCCUGAGAGGGUGACCGGCCACAUUGGGACUGGAAUACGGCCCGGACUCCUACGGGAGGCAGCAGUGGGGAAUAUUGCACAGUGGGCGGAAGCCUAAUGCAGCAACGCCGCGUGCGGGAUGACGGCCUUCGGUUUGUAAACCGCUUUCGCCUGUGACGAAGCGUGAGUGACGGUAAUGGGUAAAGAAGCACCGGCUAACUACGUG
This 468-nucleotide ribosomal RNA is filed under the name uncultured bacterium. Its description in RNAcentral is "partial 16S ribosomal RNA". It matches the Rfam family "Bacterial small subunit ribosomal RNA", at positions 28 to 507 of the family's 1533-position model. The record is from RNAcentral.